Mytilus trossulus (common blue mussel) is the source of this 362-nucleotide long non-coding RNA. RefSeq lists it as uncharacterized. The transcript is spliced from 4 exons. Lineage: Eukaryota; Metazoa; Mollusca; Bivalvia; Mytilida; Mytilidae. The record is from RefSeq and is a predicted model, not a curated record.
CAUGGAUAUGGGGGAGGCUAUCUUAGUUAUUACAGAAAAUAUCAUGGAUUUAAACUCCGACACAACAGAUUUUUCUAUGGCGGUCAUGGAUAUAAAUUGAGAUGUGCAAGGAGACGAUUUUACAGAAGCUGGACGGGUUGUUACAGAAGAUAUCACAGUAGAAGUCGUUGUUUUGGAUAUCUGAGGAAAAGACAUCUGUUUGGACUUUAUCAUAGAGCAGGUUACAGAACUGUACACACUCAUACGAAAUAUAGCUAUAGCUAUUAUAGAAGUCAUCAUGGAUUCAGCAUAAGACAUAGUAGAUUUACUUAUCAUGGAGUUUCAUACCGACUGAAAUGUAGCAGCACCCGAUUUUACAGACU